UACGUAGGGUGCGAGCGUUGUCCGGAAUUACUGGGCGUAAAGGGCGCGUAGGCGGCCACUGCAAGUCAGUUGUGAAAUCUCCGGGCUUAACCCGGAAAGGUCAACUGAUACUGCAGGGCUAGAGUGCAGAAGGGGCAACUGGAAUUCUCGGGUGUAGCGGUGAAAUGCGUAGAUAUCGAGAGGAACACCUGCGGCGAAGGCGGGUUGCUGGGCUGACACUGACGCUGAGGCGCGAAAGCCAGGGGAGCGAACGGG
RNAcentral lists this ribosomal RNA (255 nucleotides) under uncultured bacterium. RNAcentral describes it as "partial 16S ribosomal RNA". It matches the Rfam family "Bacterial small subunit ribosomal RNA", at positions 524 to 776 of the family's 1533-position model. The record is from RNAcentral.